RNAcentral lists this transfer RNA (76 nucleotides) under Candidatus Thorarchaeota archaeon. RNAcentral describes it as "tRNA-Phe". It matches the Rfam family "tRNA". From Rfam's summary of the family: Transfer RNA (tRNA) molecules are approximately 80 nucleotides in length. Their secondary structure includes four short double-helical elements and three loops (D, anti-codon, and T loops). Further hydrogen bonds mediate the characteristic L-shaped molecular structure. tRNAs have two regions of fundamental functional importance: the anti-codon, which is responsible for specific mRNA codon recognition, and the 3' end, to which the tRNAs corresponding amino acid is attached (by aminoacyl-tRNA synthetases). tRNAs cope with the degeneracy of the genetic code in two manners: having more than one tRNA (with a specific anti-codon) for a particular amino acid; and 'wobble' base-pairing, i.e. permitting non-standard base-pairing at the 3rd anti-codon position. RNAcentral also lists the same sequence under 1 other name. Lineage: Archaea; Promethearchaeati; Candidatus Thorarchaeota. The record is from RNAcentral.
GGAACUGUGGUGAGGCUGGUGCUCACACUCGGUUGAAGCCCGAGGGACAUAGGUUCGAUUCCUAUCGGUUCCACCA